Molecule: long non-coding RNA, 527 nt
Organism: Anthonomus grandis grandis
Lineage: Eukaryota; Metazoa; Arthropoda; Insecta; Coleoptera; Curculionidae
Exons: 3
Source: RefSeq, a predicted model, not a curated record
GAUAAAAAAUUGAAGUUCAUCUUUCGGGACAAAACACUCAUGAUUUCAAAUUUCAGAUAGUUGAAAUGAGGGUGUCAACCAUUUAUGUUAUGUGUCAACAGUAAAAACGUCUACAUUAUAUUUGAUGAUUUUUACUUAUUACACUUCUUUGCUCUAGCGGUAGUGUUAAGUGCUUCAAGAUAUCUUUUCAGGCAGUUGAAGCCUCGCCAGGAAUUUGGAAUAAUGUUAUGAUUUUUCAAGACACUUGGAAUCUUCAUUCACGAGGUUGUAAUAGAGUCCUCGACCUGAUGAUGCGAUGAUAUUGUAAUCGCGAAACCGGUCGUCAUAAUAAAAGGAAUUUCUGGUGAAAUAAGACCUUUAUUUUCUACUGUGUUUGCUGGCAAAUACCUAUAAAAAUACAUCCCAGAACAUGGACACCAUUCUCCAAACUAUAGUUAAAAACUUAUCUGUAGUAAUUCCCAGCUUUCUCCAAUGAAAAAUGUUAAGUGCUAAAUUAUAAUAGUAUGUAAUAUAAUUUUUUAUAGAAA